UUCCCUAUAGCUCAGAGGGUAAAGAAACUGCAUGCAAUGCAGUAGGCCCAGGUUCAAUCCCUGGUCAGGAAG
This 72-nucleotide transfer RNA is filed under the name Bos taurus (domestic cattle). It matches the Rfam family "tRNA". Rfam says of the family: Transfer RNA (tRNA) molecules are approximately 80 nucleotides in length. Their secondary structure includes four short double-helical elements and three loops (D, anti-codon, and T loops). The record is from Rfam by way of RNAcentral. Lineage: Eukaryota; Metazoa; Chordata; Mammalia; Artiodactyla; Bovidae. RNAcentral also lists the same sequence under 4 other names.